CGAGGUGCAAGCGUUACUCGGAUUACUGGCGUAAGCGUGCGUAGGCGGUUCGUUAAGUCCGAUGUGAAAGCCCUGGGCGUCAACCUGGGAACGUGCAUUUGGAAACUGGCGGGCUGGAGUGCGGUAGAGGGUGGCGGAAUUCCCGGUGUAGCAGUGAAAUGCGUAGAUAUCCGGGAGGAACACCCGUGGCGAAGGCGGCCACCUGGACCAGCACUGACGCUGAGGCACGAAAGCGUUGGGGAGCAAAACAGGAUUU
This 256-nucleotide ribosomal RNA is filed under the name uncultured bacterium. RNAcentral's name for it is "partial 16S ribosomal RNA". It matches the Rfam family "Bacterial small subunit ribosomal RNA", at positions 528 to 780 of the family's 1533-position model. The record is from RNAcentral.